RNAcentral lists this ribosomal RNA (253 nucleotides) under uncultured bacterium. RNAcentral's name for it is "partial 16S ribosomal RNA". It matches the Rfam family "Bacterial small subunit ribosomal RNA", at positions 524 to 776 of the family's 1533-position model. The record is from RNAcentral.
UACGUAGGGCGCAAGCGUUAUCCGGAAUUAUUGGGCGUAAAGAGCUCGUAGGCGGCUUGUCGCGUCGUCCGUGAAAACCUGCGGCUCAACUGCAGGCUGGCGGUCGAUACGGGCAGACUGGAGGUAUGCAGGGGAGAACGGAAUUCCUGGUGUAGCGGUGAAAUGCGCAGAUAUCAGGAGGAACACCGGUGGCGAAGGCGGUUCUCUGGGCAUGUUCUGACGCUGAGGAGCGAAAGCAUGGGGAGCGAACAGG